GUCCCUGUAGCUUACAACAAAGCGCGGCACUGAAGAUGCCGAGAUGGCCAGCUGCAUGUUCCCAGGGACA
This 70-nucleotide transfer RNA is filed under the name Sula dactylatra (masked booby). Its description in RNAcentral is "tRNA-Phe". The record is from RNAcentral. Lineage: Eukaryota; Metazoa; Chordata; Aves; Suliformes; Sulidae.